UAGCCAUGGUGGGGGCAUUCAAGUUGGUAGCUCUUGAAUCUCUCCCAGGCAUUUCUGAAUGAUUCCCGUGGGUUUUGAAGGAAUGUGGAGAUUUUCCUCCUUGCAU
Molecule: small nucleolar RNA, 106 nt
Organism: Brassica napus (rape)
Lineage: Eukaryota; Viridiplantae; Streptophyta; Magnoliopsida; Brassicales; Brassicaceae
Source: RefSeq, a predicted model, not a curated record